AGAGUUUGAUCAUGGCUCAGAUUGAACGCUGGCGGUAUGCUUAACACAUGCAAGUCGGACGGCAGCAUGGUUUGUAGCAAUACGAACUGAUGGCGAGUGGCGGACGGGUGAGAAACGCGUAGGAAUCUGCCUUGUAGAGGGGGACAACUAGAGGAAACUCUAGCUAAUACCGCAUAAAGUCGAGAGACCAAAGGCUGGGGCAACCUGGCGCUAUGAGAGGAGCCUGCGUCCGAUUAGCUAGUUGGUAGGGUAAAGGCCUACCAAGGCGAUGAUCGGUAGCUGGUCUGAGAGGAUGAUCAGCCACACUGGGACUGAGACACGGCCCAGACUCCUACGGGAGGCAGCAGUGGGGAAUAUUGGACAAUGGGGGCAACCCUGAUCCAGCAAUACCGCGUGUGUGAAGAAGGCCUUCGGGUUGUAAAGCACUUUAGGUUGGGAAGAAGAUGUGUAGUUUAAGAGAUGACACAUUUGACUGUACCGACAGAAUAAGCACCGGCUAACUCUGUGCCAGCAGCCGCGGUAAUACAGAGGGUGCAAGCGUUAAUCGGAGUUACUGGGCGUAAAGGGCGCGUAGGCGGUUAUAUAAGUGAGAUGUGAAAUCCCUGGGCUUAACCUAGGAACUGCAUCUUAUACUGUGUGACUAGAGUAUUGUAGAGGGUAGUGGAAUUUCCGGUGUAGCGGUGAAAUGCGUAGAGAUCGGAAGGAACACCAGUGGCGAAGGCGGCUACCUGGACAAAUACUGACGCUGAGGCGCGAGAGCGUGGGGAGCAAACAGGAUUAGAUACCCUAGUAGUCC
RNAcentral lists this ribosomal RNA (796 nucleotides) under uncultured bacterium. RNAcentral's name for it is "bacterial SSU rRNA". It matches the Rfam family "Bacterial small subunit ribosomal RNA", at positions 8 to 796 of the family's 1533-position model. The record is from RNAcentral.